Molecule: ribosomal RNA, 160 nt
Filed under: uncultured bacterium
Lineage: Bacteria
Description: partial 16S ribosomal RNA
Rfam family: Bacterial small subunit ribosomal RNA
Source: RNAcentral
UGAGGAAUAUUGGUCAAUGGGGCGGAGAGCCUGAACCAGCCAAGUCGCGUGAGGGAAGACGGUCCUAUGGAUUGUAAACCUCUUUUGUCAGGGAGCAAGGAGGGCCACGAGUGGCGCUUCGGAGAGUACCUGAAGAAAAAGCAUCGGCUAACUCCGUGCC